UCAAUAAGAAGCUGUGGAAUACCACUUGCACAGGAGUGUUGCACAGCCAAUGGUCCUUCCUUCUUCAGCCGUAUGUCCAAUAACCCAAUAGAUCCAUCUCUAAGACCAUGCCAAUGAGAAAGCAUUCCACUAAACAUACUUCCAUCUUGUUCAUUAACAGGAUUCCUAAGGUAUUCACAUAGCUUGGCAGUCCUAGGGAUCAUUGGCACAGCUAUGUCAAGAAUGGUAGUUUCAACUGUGCAGCCAGUUUCAAGAGACAGAAUGGAUGCUAGAGCUAGCAUUGCAGAUGCAGAAUGAGG
RNAcentral lists this long non-coding RNA (299 nucleotides) under Solanum melongena (eggplant). RNAcentral describes it as "long non-coding RNA (SMEL_LNC000075)". Lineage: Eukaryota; Viridiplantae; Streptophyta; Magnoliopsida; Solanales; Solanaceae. The record is from RNAcentral.